RNAcentral lists this long non-coding RNA (1295 nucleotides) under Cervus hanglu yarkandensis (Yarkand deer). Its description in RNAcentral is "lncRNA (ENSCHYG00000013965.1)". The record is from RNAcentral. Lineage: Eukaryota; Metazoa; Chordata; Mammalia; Artiodactyla; Cervidae.
UGACGCAGGCCGCCGGGCCCGGGAACUUCCUCCCGCGGAGACCACCCCGCGCCCGGGCCGGCCGCCCAGGACAGCCGCCGGCCGCCGAGGACUUCCUUCAGGGCGCCCAAGAAGAUCUCCCGCCGCUUGCCGGUGGAGCCCCUCCGGCCUCUGGAACGCCCACCUGGCGGCCAGUGCCUGAGGAAUGGACCGGGGCCACUACCUUCCCCAUCCCGAACCCGAGGCUUCCCUGCGCUGGCGGCCGCGCCACAGUCGCAGCUCCACCCCGGGGGUGAAAAGCGAACUCUGCCUUAUUGAAAGCCGAGUCACCUGAAUAGAAAAUCUCCCCAAUGGAAAAAUGUACAGACAAGAUUACUAAGUAAUAUAUGAUCUUCUGGAAUGCCUUACCAAUAUGAGUUUUUCUAAGAGCACCAACAAUUAAACGAUUGCUUUGUGUUGGCAUUCAGGAAAAGAGGGGCGUAUGCCAGCAGAGCAAUUCAUAGACAGCUAGUCUUUUUUUGCUAGUUGGUUUGUUCUUACACACCAAACCUUAAGAAAGCAGGCCUCUUUCCUUUUACCCCAUUUUUAUCUCCAAGUCAAAAUUAAAAUUUGUCAAAAAGUUGAUUUCUUAGUCUUAACUGAUUUUUCCAUGCUCCUCUGGCAAAUUCCUACACGUUUUCGAAUUCCAGUACUGUUGUUGGGUGUCUUUCACAGAAGAAAACAUUCAACCCUCUUAGUCCUUAGGAGAUGACCCUAACAUUAGCCUUAAUUAACCUAGAGAACAACACUUAAUUCUAAAGUGGGGCCUUCCUCCUAGAUAGCAGGUGGGAAAAGUUCCUGGAAGUUUCCUAGAGAAAAGACAGAGGCUGACUAGCAAUUUGCUGCAAACAAACAAAAAAAAAUUUUUUUAAGUAAAAAUUUGAGUACCUUGUAGGCCACCAGGUACUAGCUGAGUCAACUAGUUAACUCAGGUUAAAUACCUUACCUGGAUUUAAACAGUGAGGUGAUCACUAAGGGCACAAAUAUCCUGUGGAGGGCUUUGGUCUCCAGAGGCUUUCUGCCUGCACCUCUAUCCUCCUUGUGUUCCUAAACUCAAGCUUAGUCCUCCCUGAAAUGCUGCCUCACUGCCCAGUGUCAAGGAAGCACAAUCCUAGACUUUGGACUGAGGUGAACCAGGAAGAAAUCCCUGCUUUUUCUGUGUAAAUGUAAGGAAAUUACUGCUACUUCCCCCCACCCCAUCAAAAAUGUAAGUAUAGUACUAUAGGGUGAUGUGAGAAUUAAAUAACACACUUAAAUCACCAAGAACAGGGCCAAAC